GAUGAACGCUGGCGGCGUGCCUAAUACAUGCAAGUCGAGCGAACGGACGAGAAGCUUGCUUCUCUGAUGUUAGCGGCGGACGGGCGAGUAGCACGUGGAUAACCUACCUAUAAUACUGGGAUAACUUCGGGAAACCGGAUCUAAUACCGGAUAAUAUUUUGAACCGCAUGGUUCAAAAGUGAAAGACGGCCUUGCUGUCUCUUAUAGAUGGAUCCGCGCUGCAUUAGAGAGUGGGUAAGGUAACGGCUCACCAAGGCAACGAUGCAGAGCCGACCUGAGAGGAUGGUCAGACAAACGGGAACUGAGACACGCGCCAGACUCCUACGGGAGGCAGCAGUGGGGAAUAUUGGACAAGGGGCGCAAGCCUUGUACAGCAAUACCGCGUGGGUGAAAAAGGUCUUCGGGUUGUAAAGCCCUUUUGUUGGGAAAGAAAAGCAGGAGGUUAAUACCUCGCUGUACUGACGGUACCCAAAGAAUAAGCACCGGCGAACUUCGUG
RNAcentral lists this ribosomal RNA (497 nucleotides) under uncultured bacterium. RNAcentral's name for it is "partial 16S ribosomal RNA". It matches the Rfam family "Bacterial small subunit ribosomal RNA", at positions 28 to 507 of the family's 1533-position model. The record is from RNAcentral.